This 231-nucleotide non-coding RNA is filed under the name Gracilibacillus kekensis. RNAcentral's name for it is "T-box sequence". It matches the Rfam family "T-box leader". Rfam says of the family: Uncharged tRNA acts as the effector for transcription antitermination of genes in the T-box leader family. T-boxes are found upstream of many aminoacyl-tRNA synthetase genes and some amino acid biosynthetic genes usually in Gram-positive bacteria. The anticodon of a specific tRNA base pairs to a specifier sequence within the T-box motif, and the NCCA acceptor tail of the tRNA base pairs to a conserved bulge in the T-box antiterminator hairpin. The record is from RNAcentral. Lineage: Bacteria; Bacillati; Bacillota; Bacilli; Caryophanales; Bacillaceae.
UUAAAUGCGAUGAUGAGAAGGAGUACUUCAUACUGUUCGUAAGAGAGGAAAAUCCACCAGGCUGAAAGAUUUUCUCGAAAAAAGAUGAAGGAAUGUAGUCUCUGAUGCAGCUUUACUGAAUGCAAGUAGGUAAUAGCCGGUGAACCCGUUAUCUUUAUGAAUCAAGUGUAUAAGUAGCGAUACUUAUAAACAAAGGUGGUACCGCGGAAUCCAACCCUUUUCGUCCUUUAU